Molecule: long non-coding RNA, 1143 nt
Filed under: Lactuca sativa (garden lettuce)
Lineage: Eukaryota; Viridiplantae; Streptophyta; Magnoliopsida; Asterales; Asteraceae
Description: long non-coding RNA (LSAT_LNC006170)
Source: RNAcentral
UCGAAACCAACAAGCUUAGAAAACAACUUACAACAUUGUUUGUAGUUAAUGUACACAAAAUCAAUAAGAAAACAUAAACCAAUCUUCCUUUUUAAAAUUAAAUGCCAUAUCAAACAAAAUAUUAUUACUCUUCUCUCACAACCAUUCAAUAUCAUAAAAUACAUAACCUAAAUUGUAAUAAAAAAAGAUCACAAUUUGCAUAAAAAGAGUAGAGCACAUCAUCACGUUUAUAGUACAAGACUCACAUCACCGAUUCUCAACAGCCUCUGGUGACCUACAGCUAAAACUAACAAAAAAAAUACAUUGACACUAAGCAUGUAUGUAAUGGGAAAGCAUGUAUGUAAUGGGAAGCAAAUUCACAUAAGAUGAUUAAUAAUAAAAACAUGAUGUUAUAUUGGACAUCUGAUAUCAAUUUUAGGCCCUUCAUCCUUAUCAAUUUAGACCCAUCAAAAGCACAAAAAUAUGAUGACUUGCCAUUUACAAGAAUAUAAUCAGAAAAGAAUCUAGCAAUAUGAAGAACAACAAGGACCAAGGCUGUAAAAUCAUUAUUAAGACAAAAUAAUUGUCAAUUGUGAAAGUACCCGGGGAUAUUAUAAUGAGGGUCUGAGCAGGGGCAAAUAUAGACUCAUUUUAAUCAAAAAGUUUCAUUUAAGCAUUCCAUCAAACACUUCAUGUGCAACUAGAGUUACAAACAUAUUUAAAGGAUUAAUAAUAUGAUGAUAAACUAAAGUGAUAUUGGUAUUUGAUAAAGACUAAUAAAAUUGAAGAAAGGAGAAAUACAACGUUAAAAUUUGAUAAAGCCAUGGUGUUUCUAUCUAACAAAAAGAUACAUACAAGGAAGAAAAAUUGAACCAAACGUGAUAGGAAAACCGAACAACAAAAUAGGAAAAUAGAGGUCUUUUCCUACCACGAAAAGGAGGUCGGAGCUCAGGUCGGAGGUGGGCGUAGGUCGGAGUUGGGAGGAGCUGCAGGAAGAAAUUGUGUCUGGGGAAGGAGAAGAAGAAACUGCAUCACAUGUUAGGAUAAUGAGAAGGGCGCCCUCAGUGAUGGUGCUGGUUGUAGCAGCGUCUGUGUAAAGGAGGGCAAUCAAAGAAAAAGUCUCAGUCAACUCAUAUUUUUUUCAGGACCGAGUAAGGAGCUGGG